RNAcentral lists this ribosomal RNA (254 nucleotides) under uncultured bacterium. RNAcentral describes it as "partial 16S ribosomal RNA". It matches the Rfam family "Bacterial small subunit ribosomal RNA", at positions 526 to 779 of the family's 1533-position model. The record is from RNAcentral.
CAGAGGGUGCGAGCGUUAAUCGGAAUUACUGGGCGUAAAGCGCGCGUAGGCGGUUAUGUAAGUUGGAUGUGAAAUCCCCGGGCUUAACCUGGGCACUGCAUUCAAAACUGCAUAGCUAGAGUAUGGGAGAGGAAGGUAGAAUUCCAGGUGUAGCGGUGAAAUGCGUAGAGAUCUGGAGGAAUACCGAUGGCGAAGGCAGCCUUCUGGCCUAAUACUGACGCUGAGGUGCGAAAGCAUGGGGAGCAAACAGGAUU